Passer domesticus (house sparrow) is the source of this 764-nucleotide long non-coding RNA. RefSeq lists it as uncharacterized. Lineage: Eukaryota; Metazoa; Chordata; Aves; Passeriformes; Passeridae. The record is from RefSeq and is a predicted model, not a curated record. The transcript has 3 exons.
CACCUGUGGUUCCAUUUAAACUCUUCUAUUUGUAGGUAUCAUGCUUUUAACUUGAAGUGCAGCAAGUCCAUCAUGUGCGGGGCCAUCUGACAGGGAGUCUUUGUGCUUUCUGCACGUAGGAGGAAGAUGUGUGAAACACUAACAAGCAAAAUACAGCCAGUGAAACACUAACAAGCAAAAUACAGCAUCUAUAAACACCUGGUAGCAGAAUCAUCCCUUCUGUGGAUACAGCCCUGAGGGAAGGUGGCUAAGGGUCACUCUUAGCCCAGAAAAUCAACUGGCAUCACAGGCAGGCAGCUGCUGAAGUCAGAGGGCCAGAUUCAGCCUGCCUGCUCCCACUUCAUUGCAUCUUGCAUCCCCUUCACUCAGAGAUGAUGCAGGAACCACCAACUAUCCCCUUGGCACCAGAGGAGCUGAUCUCAGGAGGCUGAAUCCCACCAUUUGGCAUAGCUGCUUGUGCCAGGAAGCUCCAGAGUUGAUUUUGGUAUGUGUCACAGACUCCAGCACAGCCCACACAUGAAGGAUCAGGAAUUUGGGCUGUGUGUAUUACCUGGCAGCUUGGUCUUCAGCAACUAGACCUGCUGUCCAUCUCAGGACACAUGGGAUGCUCAGAGCCAACACAGUGGGAGGAACAACUACAGAGAAGACAGAGCAAAGGCUACCCCCAAAUAGCUGCCAACAGGAACUUUGCAACAAAAAGACUCAAUACAUUAAAAUUGCUAAGAAAACACACCUGUAACCUCUAGCAUUCAUGAAAUCAGAGA